This 263-nucleotide long non-coding RNA is filed under the name Zostera marina. Its description in RNAcentral is "long non-coding RNA (ZMAR_LNC004785)". The record is from RNAcentral. Lineage: Eukaryota; Viridiplantae; Streptophyta; Magnoliopsida; Alismatales; Zosteraceae.
CUUCUGUUGUCCCUCCUCGUGGCCGACGUCGGAGGCGUCCCCGCCGCGGUGCUUCCCCGCUGGAUCAGGUCCCUUGCCGCUUGCGUCGCCGUAUCAAUUUUAAUUAGGAACCUGUAAUAUUUUUUAUUUAUCAUUUUUCGUAAUUUUGAAUAAAUAUACUUUUUUACCUUUUCCUUUACUCGACUUACACCUUUACUCUGAAGUACGUCAGUGUAGUCGAUGCUUUCUUUUGGCCAAUACCAUACUUUUCUGAAGAUGUCAAA